RNAcentral lists this long non-coding RNA (516 nucleotides) under Camarhynchus parvulus. RNAcentral describes it as "lncRNA (ENSCPVG00000013514.2)". Lineage: Eukaryota; Metazoa; Chordata; Aves; Passeriformes; Thraupidae. The record is from RNAcentral.
AUGGAGUGUUUGGUUGAAAAUAUUUUCCAUGUCCAUCAUUCAACAAUCCUGGUUUUUUUUUCAGAGUCCUCCCACCAUGACAUGUCAGAAAUAAGUGAGAAUCCUGAGGUUGAGGUCACCCUUGAAGAUUCUGACCAUACCUACAUGUACCGUGAGACGCGAUGGAGGAGCAGCAAGUCAGUUAAUGAAGAGUCCAAUACUCAGAGAAGAAAUGAGGCAGAGUUCAAUUCUGAUUCAUCCCAGCAUGACUCAUCAGAAGGAAGUGAGGUUUCUGAGGCUGACCUCACUAGUGAAGGUCAGUUCCCCAGGUCACUCAUUUCAGUUGGUUGGGCAUUUUUCUAUCCAGAGUGUGUUUUCCAAAGCCUGCAUUACUUGACACUGAAUGAAGAUAAUUGUGUACUGGUGUUGAGUGGAGUUUGGAUUGUGCACUGUUUUCUAAACAAACCUGGUGGAGAAGUAUUAGAAAACCAAAAUAUACUGAAGCAUAUUGGACUUGGUGGGCUGGUUUUGAGAUGA